Molecule: ribosomal RNA, 774 nt
Filed under: uncultured Neocallimastigales
Lineage: Eukaryota; Fungi; Neocallimastigomycota; Neocallimastigomycetes; Neocallimastigales
Description: partial large subunit ribosomal RNA
Rfam family: Eukaryotic large subunit ribosomal RNA
Source: RNAcentral
GUAGUCUCGCACAGAUGCAUAUCAAUAAGCGGAGGAAAAGAAACUAACAAGGAUUCCCCUAGUAACGGCGAGUGAAGCGGGAAGAGCUCAAAUUUGGAAUCUUAAAGGGUUUCCCUUUACGAAUUGUAGUUUAAAGAAGUGUUUUCUGUUGAGGUUUUGGUAAAAGUUCUUUGGAAUAGGACAUCAUAGAGGGUGAGAAUCCCGUAUUUGACCUUUACUUUCAACUUUGUGAUACACUUUCAAAGAGUCGGAUUGUUUGGGAAUGCAGUCCAAAAUGGGUGGUAAAUUUCAUCUAAAGCUAAAUAUUGGCGAGAGACCGAUAGCGAACAAGUACCGUGAGGGAAAGAUGAAAAGAACUUUGAAAAGAGAGUUAAACAGUACGUGAAAUUGUCAAAAGGGAAGCGUUUGACACCAGUGUUGUUUUUCUGAAAAUCAAUUAAAGAACUGUUUAUGCUAAGCUGUUUAGACUUUAUCAGCUAACUGUUUAGUUUUGAGCUUUUCUUUAAUGCACUUUUCAGUUAACAAGUCAACAUCAAUUUCUUUUGCUGUAAAAAAGCUUGAGGAAGGUGGCUUGAGAUUCGUCUUAAGUGUUUAUAGCCUCUUGCCUAUGCAGUCGGAGAGGUUGAGGUCUGCAGCGUAGAUCCUUCGGGGCUAAAUGCAUUUGUGCUAAGUUAUAGCAUUUUAUAGACAACUUGUUGACUAUGAUUUGUCUUGUAGCUUACUCGCUUAUGUUAUUUUACCUACGCUUAGGAUGUUGAGCGCAUGUCUCUCUCU